CCCGCACAAGCGGUGGAGUAUGUGGUCUAAGUCGAUGCAACGCGAAGAACCUUACCUCGACGUUGCCAUCCUGAGAAUCCAUCAUCGAAAUAGAUCGAGUGCCAUUCGGAGGAAUUCCGUGACAGGUGCUGCAUGACUGUUGUCAGAUCGUGCUGUGAGGUGUUGGCUUAAAUCCCGCAACGAGCGUCAACCCAUAGUGCUCGACUCCCAUCACAUAAUGGUGGGCACUUAUAUUGUGACUGCCCGGGUCAACCGGGAGGAAGCUGCCGACGACGUCAUGUCAUCAUGGCCAUUACGUCCAGGGCUACACACGUAGUACAAUGCUGGAUACAGAGUGUCUGCGAACCCGCGAUGUCGAACCAAUCCCAGAAAAUCCAUCCUAGUCCGGAUCGCAGUCUGCAACUUGACUGUGUGAAGUUGGAAUCGCUAAUAAUCCCAGAUCAGCAUGCUGGGGUGAAUACGUUCCCGGGCGUUGUACACACCGCCCGUCACACCACGAAAGCUGGUUAUACCCAAAAUCGACGGAGUAACCUUCAGGU
RNAcentral lists this ribosomal RNA (539 nucleotides) under uncultured delta proteobacterium. RNAcentral's name for it is "bacterial SSU rRNA". It matches the Rfam family "Bacterial small subunit ribosomal RNA", at positions 920 to 1447 of the family's 1533-position model. The record is from RNAcentral. Lineage: Bacteria; Deltaproteobacteria.